GCUGGGAGUGGUGGCACAUGCCUGUAAUCCCAGUGGCUUGGAGGCUGAGACAGGAGGAUUGCAGGUUUGAAGUCAGCCUUAGCAUUUUAGUGAGGCUCUAAGGAACUUAGUGAGAUCCUAUCUUAA
Molecule: small RNA, 126 nt
Filed under: Marmota monax (woodchuck)
Lineage: Eukaryota; Metazoa; Chordata; Mammalia; Rodentia; Sciuridae
Source: RNAcentral